CCUUUAUCCCGUGGUGAUUUGGCCGGUCGGCUUGCAGCCACGUUAAAGAAGUCGCUAAAAGGCCGCGCUCGAUCACCG
Non-coding RNA from Nitratireductor aquibiodomus RA22, 78 nucleotides. NCBI's taxonomy places the organism in Bacteria, Pseudomonadati, Pseudomonadota, Alphaproteobacteria, Hyphomicrobiales, Phyllobacteriaceae. The record is from Rfam.